This is a long non-coding RNA of Triticum aestivum (bread wheat), 253 nucleotides long. RefSeq lists it as uncharacterized. NCBI's taxonomy places the organism in Eukaryota, Viridiplantae, Streptophyta, Magnoliopsida, Poales, Poaceae. The record is from RefSeq and is a predicted model, not a curated record. The transcript is spliced from 3 exons.
CAACUGACUGCUGGGGCCCAUUGUGAAGCAAACACAGCUCAAGAAGUUUGUUUUACUGAGAGUGCUCGUCAGGGUUCCCAUCCAAGAAAGAGACCAAUGACAGAACAGAUGGAGGACUGUCUAGCUACAAAGAAGCAACUGACAGCUGGGGAUAAUGGUGAAGCAAGUGUCAAAGCUCAGUCGUCCUCGACAGUCUGAUAGUGUGCUUUUGACCGGACAAAGCGAUGCUGUUGGAACACGAUGUUGUUUUGAU